GAUUCCCUAACUCUCCCAAAAAAGAAUCAGGAAAAACAAGAAGGUCUCCACAACCGUACUCCCCGCCGCCGCGCCCUAGUAGCCGUCCAGGCUCGCCGCGAGAGGCGUCCGUCAUCGCGCUAGCGCCGGAAGCAGACGAGGCGGACCGUGUGCCUCCACUUUAUACGCGCCUCCGCCGGCGACCGUGGAGAUCGGGAAGCCUUAUCACAGCUCCGACAGCGACGGCGACCGUGCGCUCCACUGAAACCUUAGGCGUUGAUUCCCAGUCUCCCACUUCCUGUCAGUACACGAUCCUCUCCCACCGAUCACCUCCAGUCAGUCUACCACCGCCUCCCAGUCCCAUCCCACCCAUGGACGGGAGCCUCGCUUCGUCCGAUCCCGGCCCGUCCUUCGCCAAGCCGCCUGGCAGCUCGGGGGACUCGGGGCCGUGCGCAUCCAGAAGCUCGGGCCCUGGUCCCGAGGUGGAGGUCCGAGCUCUCGUAUCGAUGGCCGGCGGACUCUACCCGUUGGCUCGGGCGGAGGCACUGCGUGGCCUCGCUGCGGUCGUCGAGAAGGUGGGGACCAGUGGUGGGGCCGUGGAAUGUUGCUACGGCUGCGCGGUGGAGUUGCUGAGGGACGAGGACCAGAGUAUCAGGUUGGCCGCCGUGCGAUUGAUUGGUCUAUGUGCGGAGAAGUUUGCUGGACGAGAGGAAGUGAGUGGCAUUGGCAAUGGUGACCAAAUGGACCUUAUUUUUCUACAGCUUAGCUCCACAGCUAGGGAUAUGUGUAUGCAAGUGAGAAUCGAAGCAUUCAAUGGACUUGCUAAAAUGCAGAGAGUAUCCGAGGGUGUUUUGCUUCAGUCAUUGUCUAAGAAGGUCAUAAGGACUGACACUGGGAGUGGCUCUAUCUGCAAAGCGAACAAACUACCCCCUAAACUAAUAUUUCCUUGUGCUGCUGGCAUUUUUGCACAUGGGAUUGAAGAUGAGUUUUAUCAGGUUCGAAUAGCUGCCUGUAAAACAUUGGGAGCACUUGCAAAGUUUUCAGGCCAAUAUGCGCAGAAGGCCUUGGACUUGUUGAUGGACAUGAUGAACGAUGACACAGAAGCAGUUAGAUUGCAGACUUUGCAGACACUAUUUAAUAUGGCAACAUAUGGAUAUUUGAGUGUGCAGGAGAAGCACAUGCAUAUGUUCCUUGCCACAUUGAUUGAUGCGAAUGCCAUAGUGCGAAAUGCAGCACGCAAGAUCCUAGGGUUAGUGAAUCUGCCUAAACUUCAAAUGUUUAGAUCUGCACUUGAUGGUCUCAUUACAAGUUUGGAGAAAAAUCCGGAGGAACAAGAUAUAUACAGCAUUCUGUUUUCCAUUGGGAAGAAUCAUGGGAGCUUUUCAGCCAAUGUAGCUAAACAUUUAGCCAAAGAGAUCAGUACAGCACCCAAUGGAGAGCUAAUCUUGGAUAAACAUAGGAUCCAGGCAUUGUUAAUAGUGUCUAUCUCGGCACCUGUUUCUGCUGAUAAACACAAGAAAUUAGAUAUACCUUCGGUUAUAUUUUCACAUGCAAUUCCCUUACUUGGGAGGAUCUCAUCUGCAUUAGGAGAAGAUAUUAUAAAAGACUUAUCCUACUUGUGUCAUCCAAGUGGGAUGCCUUUUGCAGAGAAAGGGUUAAUGUCUGGAGAAGGUGGAAGAUCUGAGUUCUGGAGUGUUGAAACUAUGAGGGGGACUCAUGCUCUGAUAGAAAAAACCAGAAAGGAAACUAAUUGCUCAGAUGAAGUGCUGAUAAUGGGAUCGAUGAGGCUGAUGCUAGAAACAGUUGAAGAAACCUGGGCCAUGAGAGAAUCAUGUGGUAUAGAAGAAAUUCGAACUAUUCUGAGAACAUGCAAAGAAGAAGUCAAGGUAUUUGCUAUUAAGUCUUCUGGGUCAACUGGUGCAUUCUUGAGCUUUCUAUGUGACUAUCUUGAUGCCAUACGAUGCAUUGUUGAAAUACGGCAGUUGAUUCAAUUGGAGAAUUCUUAUGCUAUUGGCCCUACUUCACUUGAUAUUUUGCUAGAGAAGUUAGAUACAUAUGUGAGAAGGAUGAAAUGUUGUUACACUGGAUUGAACAGAGAACUGGAGGUUCAAGUUUUGGAGCUUGUUCUCUUAGCUAAUUUGUUUAGACUCUCAAAGUUUGGAGUAUGUUCAAAAUUAAUGCUGGAUAAGUUGCAUUGGAUAAUCAACCAGUUAGAUGGUCUAUGUGCUGAUGGAUCCUGCGAGUUUUCUGACUUCAGCAACACAGUUAAGCAAACAUUUGAUGCCAAUGUUAUUGACGGUACUCUUGUUGUGGAUAUUUGCAAUUUUCUUAAAAUCUUCCGUCUAAAACCAGCAAAAGAUUUUGGAAUGCUUAAUGCUGCAAGUGCCGUGUUGCAAGUCUUGGGUAAUAAUUCUGAAAAUCCGUUACCAUACAUUUGUGGAUUACCUGUGGGUGUAAGCUUUGACAUAUCUCUAUCAAAUAUCUCUGGUCAUGAUAGAAUCUGGAUCCGCAUGAAUUCUGGUCAGUCAAUCCAACAUGCCUUCUUAGAGUUAUCCUGUUUUGAAGGCAAUGAUGAGGUCAAGAGCUGCUCUACAGUAAUUCCUUUCUAUGCUACUCCAUUGGCGUGUUCAUUUGUUCUGAGGGUAUGUUUGGUAAUUGAAUGCCCAUCUGGAAGUAUCUGCACACACUAUGAAGAACAUGGAGGGCCAAGAGAUAGUGUAGUCCAACUCUGUGAUGAAUUAAAUGUAUACCUUGUUAGUACUGAUACAGAGUGCAAGAAUUAAAUGCUCCAGGCUUUUUAUUCUUCAGCAUUCUCUUUGAUUGAGGUUACAGUUGACUUCUAACAUCAAAGUGUGGUCAGGUCAUAUGAAAAUGACUGGUUUGAUCAUGCAAAAAUACUCCCUCUGAUCCGAAUUUGUUGAUGCAGGCACUUCACAAUAACUCCCUCCCUCCAGCCGGCCGUCGCGUCAAGCUUUUCGGAUCAGAGGGAGUAGUUAAGAAUACUAUUAACGAGAAGUCCCAUGUAAUGCAUUUCAUUAUCAGAUUAAUCUGAAUUCUGCUCUACCAAGAUUUUUGUAGCAGUAGCAGUAAGCAAGAACAAACAGUUCCACUACCAAUUGAAACAUGUUCCUGCUCAAGGUAUGUGUGCAUCCUGCUGCGUAUGUGAUUACUGUUAUGUUGUUGUUAAGAUGUGUAUGAUAUGUGAUCUGAUGUGCUUUUGAUAUACGAAGUGUCUCGUGAGUUUUUUGUCUGUUUAGUUGGGUCAUUUUUCCUAUGAGAAGAAGAAUCUGAUGUACUCCCGUGUCGCUAAAUGAACGACACUUAAUAUGAGACGGAGGGAGUAGUUGGCAUUGGAGCUGUCAUUUGGCCUCUACGGAAUACAUCAAAUGCGGCUUGGCUUGUUCCCGUUUAUUGGUUAUUUUUUCAUUUCUCUGUUUUGUUGGGAAGAUUUUUUAUUUGUCGUUAGCUGGAUUUCUAGGCUAGUUUUAAUUUGCCUUUUUUUUAAUGGCAAGUUUGUUCAUUUCUCUUUGGUAGCAUAUCUGGUACGGAUGCAAGUGGGAUCCCACAUAUAUUCUGGUUUUAGGUCAACCUUCAGCAAGUCAAUUAAGCGGGAUCCUGCUUCGGAUCCCUAAUUUCUGGUCUAGUAUUUUGCUAAGAGAAAAUUGGAAAGAAGAACUAUAUUUUUUUUCUAGAAUACAAGAAGAAGGAACUAUAUGGUCAACAGCUUGUCUGCAGCCUUUCAGCAUGGGGCGUAUUUAUUUCUUUUGUAUGUUCUGAUUUUUUCUGUUUGUUACAUGCUGGUACAACAGUUUGUUAUAUGUCUUUCUCAUACCAUCUCAGAGUGUUAAAUUUGAUGUC
Brachypodium distachyon (stiff brome) is the source of this 3837-nucleotide RNA transcript. It is a transcript of the gene named protein SIEL, with no coding region annotated. Lineage: Eukaryota; Viridiplantae; Streptophyta; Magnoliopsida; Poales; Poaceae. The record is from RefSeq and is a predicted model, not a curated record. The transcript is spliced from 9 exons.